UCUCUCUCUGCUCUUCUGUGCCUCCCCAUUCUUCUAUCAAUGAUCAAUCUAUCCUAGCAUAAAGCAUCCAUAUGUGAUUUUUUUGAAGUACAGAAUCAAACUGUGUUGUUUUUGCUGUCCUGAUGAAAAUUGUUGAUAAAUAAUGAGAGGUAUUGGAGAAAAGAAUUAGAUAUUGGUAUUGGUAUUUGGUAAUUACCAUUUGUUUGAUUGUUAUCAUAUUUGCUAUCCAGUACAUGAAAACACGGUCAUGAGAAAUCAUACACAUAAUUUACUAUAUCCAGUACAUGAACAGUUGACCAGUGACAUGAUAACGAUUUGUGUGAUUGUUUGCCAUUCUAACAAGUUACUCUAACAGUGCCACUCUACCAAAGUAACAAGGCCACAUAGUCUUCUUUGAACUUCUAAAGGUAUUAAUUAUGUACAGUUCUCUUAUGCAAAAUUGAUAAUUUUAGUAUGCAUGUAAGACCAUAUUGAUCUAUUUGUAUGUGCUAUUGUUAAAUUAAUCAGAACGUUGGCAUUUCAUAUAUGUUGCCACUUUUUUUUGGUGGACUGCCCUGUUUUGAAAUCCACCACUGCAUUGUUGUCAGAUAUGUUAUUUUUGCCCCCUGUCACUCAAAGCAGUUACUAUAUUUAUUUUUGUUACACAGUGUAUCAAUGGAUUUAGAAUCUAUAAAGGAGCUAUUGCUUUCUCCUAGACCAAGUGAGGAAUGCUUGGCUGGUGUAGCUGGUUUUCUUGACUUUGCGUACAUAGAGGGCAAGUCAAAGAAUAAUUUUAAGGCACGACUUGACCUGCAGGACAUGAAAAUCAGGCCAGAGCUACAUCCUAAAAAUAAACCUACUGACGAGUAUUUUCUUCUAGCUGCUUCUUAUACCAUGUCAAAGAAAGAGAAGCAUCAGUUUUUCAAAGUACUUCAUGAUAUAAAAGUUCCAGAUAGUUACUUGGGGAACUCAAAAAAACAGAAGGAACAGUUUUGCAAAGUACUUCGUGAUAUAAAAGUUCCAGACGGGUAUUUGGAGGAAUGAGGAAAUUUUGCCAGCGGAGAUUAGAAGGAUUGUUCUAAAAGGGUGCAUGAAGCUAUGCGCUCUUUUAGGACAUUUUUAUGUCUGCAUAGUUUUUGCUCUUCAAACAUGAAGCUUGAAAAAAAUACGAAACUUUGUACUGAGUUAAGCUUUAUGUAAGACGGAUUGUCAUUGGAAAUAGAUAGACACAUUUUUGUCAAAGAACUAUUAUGUCAAAUUUACCAUCUUUCAAACUAA
This is a long non-coding RNA of Triticum dicoccoides, 1257 nucleotides long. RefSeq lists it as uncharacterized. The record is from RefSeq and is a predicted model, not a curated record. Lineage: Eukaryota; Viridiplantae; Streptophyta; Magnoliopsida; Poales; Poaceae. The transcript has 2 exons.